AGAGUUUGAUCCUGGCUCAGAUUGAACGCUGGCGGCAUGCUUUACACAUGCAAGUCGAACGGGGUGGGGGGCAACUCCCAUUCAGUGGCGAACGGGUGAGUAAUGCAUCGGAACGUAUCCCGUAGUGGGGGACAACGCCGCGAAAGCGGCGCUAAUACCGCAUAUGCUCUACGGAGGAAAGUGGGGGACCUGCAAGGGCCUCACGCUAUGGGAGCGGCCGAUGUCCGAUUAGCUAGUUGGUGGGGUAAUGGCCCACCAAGGCGACGAUCGGUAGCUGGUCUGAGAGGAUGAUCAGCCACACUGGGACUGAGACACGGCCCAGACUCCUACGGGAGGCAGCAGUGGGGAAUAUUGCGCAAUGGGGGCAACCCUGACGCAGCCAUGCCGCGUGUGUGAAGAAGGCCUUCGGGUUGUAAAGCACUUUCAAUUGGGAAGAAAGGUUGCGUGUUAAUAGCACGUAGCUGUGACGUUACCUUUAGAAGAAGCACCGGCUAACUCCGUGCCAGCAGCCGCGGUAAUACGGAGGGUGCGAGCGUUAAUCGGAAUUACUGGGCGUAAAGCGUGCGUAGGCGGUUCGUUAAGUCAGAUGUGAAAGCCCCGGGCUUAACCUGGGAACUGCAUUUGAAACUGGCGAACUAGAGUUUAAUAGAGGGGAGUGGAAUUUCAGGUGUAGCGGUGAAAUGCGUAGAUAUCUGAAGGAACACCAGUGGCGAAGGCGACUCCCUGGACUCAAACUGACGCUGAGGUACGAAAGCGUGGGUAGCAAACAGGAUUAGAUACCCUGGUAGUCCACGCUGUAAACGAUGUCUACUAGCCGUUGGGAGACUUGAUUUCUUAGUGGCGCAGCUAACGCUCUAAGUAGACCGCCUGGGGAGUACGGCCGCAAGGUUA
This 891-nucleotide ribosomal RNA is filed under the name alkali sediment metagenome. Its description in RNAcentral is "bacterial SSU rRNA". It matches the Rfam family "Bacterial small subunit ribosomal RNA", at positions 8 to 896 of the family's 1533-position model. The record is from RNAcentral.